Molecule: ribosomal RNA, 1372 nt
Filed under: uncultured bacterium
Lineage: Bacteria
Description: bacterial SSU rRNA
Rfam family: Bacterial small subunit ribosomal RNA
Source: RNAcentral
GGUGAACGCUGGCGGCGUGCCUAAUACAUGCAAGUCGAGCGAACGGACGAGAAGCUUGCUUCUCUGAUGUUAGCGGCGGACGGGUGAGUAACACGUGGAUAACCUACCUAUAAGACUGGGAUAACUUCGGGAAACCGGAGCUAAUACCGGAUAAUAUUUUGAACCGCAUGGUUCAAAAGUGAAAGACGGUCUUGCUGUCACUUAUAGAUGGAUCCGCGCUGCAUUAGCUAGUUGGUAAGGUAACGGCUUACCAAGGCAACGAUGCAUAGCCGACCUGAGAGGGUGAUCGGCCACACUGGAACUGAGACACGGUCCAGACUCCUACGGGAGGCAGCAGUAGGGAAUCUUCCGCAAUGGGCGAAAGCCUGACGGAGCAACGCCGCGUGAGUGAUGAAGGUCUUCGGAUCGUAAAACUCUGUUAUUAGGGAAGAACAUAUGUGUAAGUAACUGUGCACAUCUUGACGGUACCUAAUCAGAAAGCCACGGCUAACUACGUGCCAGUAGCCUCGGUAAUACGUAGGUGGCAAGCGUUAUCCGGAAUUCAUUGGGCUAAACCGCGCGUAUGCCGGUUUUUUAGUCUGAUGUGAAAGCCCACGGCUCACCCUUGGAGGGUCAUUGGAAACUGGAAAACUUGAGUGCAGAAGAGGAAAGUGGAAUUCCAUGUGUAGCGGUGAAAUGCGCAGAGAUAUGGAGGAACACCAGUGGCGAAGGCGACUUUCUGGUCUGUAACUGACGCUGAUGUGCGAAAGCGUGGGGAUCAAACAGGAUUAGAUACCCUGGUAGUCCACGCCGUAAACGAUGAGUGCUAAGUGUUAGGGGGUUUCCGCCCCUUAGUGCUGCAGCUAACGCAUUAAGCACUCCGCCUGGGGAGUACGACCGCAAGGUUGAAACUCAAAGGAAUUGACGGGGACCCGCACAAGCGGUGGAGCAUGUGGUUUAAUUCGAAGCAACGCGAAGAACCUUACCAAAUCUUGACAUCCUUUGACAACUCUAGAGAUAGAGCCUUCCCCUUCGGGGGGCAAAGUGACAGGUGGUGCAUGGUUGUCGUCAGCUCGUGUCGUGAGAUGUUGGGUUAAGUCCCGCAACGAGCGCAACCCUUAAGCUUAGUUGCCAUCAUUAAGUUGGGCACUCUAAGUUGACUGCCGGUGACAAACCGGAGGAAGGUGGGGAUGACGUCAAAUCAUCAUGCCCCUUAUGAUUUGGGCUACACACGUGCUACAAUGGACAAUACAAAGGGCAGCGAAACCGCGAGGUCAAGCAAAUCCCAUAAAGUUGUUCUCAGUUCGGAUUGUAGUCUGCAACUCGACUACAUGAAGCUGGAAUCGCUAGUAAUCGUAGAUCAGCAUGCUACGGUGAAUACGUUCCCGGGUCU